Molecule: ribosomal RNA, 229 nt
Filed under: uncultured bacterium
Lineage: Bacteria
Description: partial 16S ribosomal RNA
Rfam family: Bacterial small subunit ribosomal RNA
Source: RNAcentral
UGUGUAGACGGCUUUUUAAGUCAGCUGUUAAAUUUUCCGGCCUAACCGGAAGUCUGCGGUUGAAACUGAUUAGCUAGAGGAUGGAAGAGAGAAGUGGAAUUCUCGGAGUAGCGGUAAAAUGCGUAGAUCUCGAGAGGAACACCGAUGGCGAAGGCAGCUUCUUGGUCCACUCCUGACGUUGAGACACGAAAGCGUGGGUAGCAAACAGGAUUAGAUACCCUGGUAGUCC